UACGUAGGCAGCGAGCGUUGUUCGGAGUUACUGGGCGUAAAGAGUAUGUAGGCGGUUGCGCAAGUUCGGUGUGAAAUCUCCCGGCUUAACUGGGAGGGUGCGCCGAAGACUGCGUGGCUAGAGUGCGGGAGAGGAGAGCGGAAUUCCUGGUGUAGCGGUGAAAUGCGUAGAUAUCAGGAGGAACACCGGUGGUGUAGACGGCUCUCUGGACCGCAACUGACGCUGAGAUACGAAAGCGUGGGGAGCAAACAGGAUUAGAUACCCUGGUAGUCCACGCCCUAAACGAUGCGGACUUGGUGUGGGCAGUUCAGUCUGUCCGUGCCGGAGCUAACGCGUUAAGUCCGCCGCCUGGGGAGUACGGUCGCAAGGCUGAA
Molecule: ribosomal RNA, 374 nt
Filed under: uncultured bacterium
Lineage: Bacteria
Description: bacterial SSU rRNA
Rfam family: Bacterial small subunit ribosomal RNA
Source: RNAcentral